Molecule: ribosomal RNA, 253 nt
Filed under: uncultured bacterium
Lineage: Bacteria
Description: partial 16S ribosomal RNA
Rfam family: Bacterial small subunit ribosomal RNA
Source: RNAcentral
UACAGAGGUCCCAAGCGUUGUUCGGAUUCACUGGGCGUAAAGGGUGCGUAGGUGGCCAGGUAAGUCUGAUGUGAAAUCUCGGAGCUUAACUCUGAAACUGCAUUGGAUACUAUCUGGCUAGAGGGUCGGAGGGGAGACUGGAAUUCUCGGUGUAGCAGUGAAAUGCGUAGAUAUCGAGAGGAACACCAGUGGCGAAGGCGAGUCUCUGGACGACUCCUGACACUGAGGCACGAAAGCUAGGGGAGCAAACAGG